GGUAGUCCACGCCGUAAACGAUGGAUACUCGCUGCCGGCGCUACACUGUCGGUGGCUUAGCGAAAGCGUUAAGUAUCCCACCUGGGGAGUACGCCCGCAAGGGUGAAACUCAAAAGAAUUGACGGGGGCCCGCACAAGUGGUGGAGCAUGUGGUUUAAUUCGAUGAUACGCGAGGAACCUUACCUAGGCUAGAAUGCGCGUGACCGCCCCAGAGAUGGGGCUUUCCUUCGGGACACAAAGCAAGGUGCUGCAUGGCCGUCGUCAGCUCGUGCCGUGAGGUGUUGGGUUAAGUCCCGCAACGAGCGCAACCCCUAUGUUUAGUUGCCAGCGGGUCAAGCCGGGGACUCUAGACAGACUGCCUGCGCAAGCAGUGAGGAAGGCGGGGACGACGUCAGGUCAUCAUGGCCCUUACGCCUAGGGCUACACACGUGCUACAAUGGACGGUACAGCGGGUUGCCAACCAGCGAUGGUGCGCCAAUCCCGAAAAGCCGUUCUCAGUUCGGAUCGGAGUCUGCAACUCGACUCCGUGAAGCUGGAAUCACUAGUAAUCGCGUAUCAGCAAUGACGCGGUGAAUACGUUCCCGGGCCUUGUACACACCGCCCGUCAAGCCAUGGAAGUUU
Molecule: ribosomal RNA, 621 nt
Filed under: uncultured bacterium
Lineage: Bacteria
Description: bacterial SSU rRNA
Rfam family: Bacterial small subunit ribosomal RNA
Source: RNAcentral